UCCACUCGCCAAGGCAACAGAAUCGAAACCUUUACCACGGUACCCACCAACAUUCACGCUCAUAUAUUCAUCGAAACCUCUAGGCGUGGCUCUACGUCGACAGGGAACCGGUAGAAACAGACUGUACCGCACCGAGAAGGCCACUGCCAUGCGGGAUCCUCCAUUGUAAUGUUGCUGCAACACCACACUCCACUUGACAGAGUGAUACCACCGAAUCCGGACCUCUCG
Molecule: long non-coding RNA, 228 nt
Filed under: Setaria italica (foxtail millet)
Lineage: Eukaryota; Viridiplantae; Streptophyta; Magnoliopsida; Poales; Poaceae
Description: long non-coding RNA (SITA_LNC006540)
Source: RNAcentral